Molecule: ribosomal RNA, 497 nt
Filed under: uncultured bacterium
Lineage: Bacteria
Description: partial 16S ribosomal RNA
Rfam family: Bacterial small subunit ribosomal RNA
Source: RNAcentral
GAUGAACGCUGGCGGCGUGCCUAAUACAUGCAAGUCGAGCGAACAGACGAGGAGCUUGCUCCUCUGACGUUAGCGGCGGACGGGUGAGUAACACGUGGAUAACCUACCUAUAAGACUGGGAUAACUUCGGGAAACCGGAGCUAAUACCGGAUAAUAUAUUGAACCGCAUGGUUCAAUAGUGAAAGACGGUUUUGCUGUCACUUCUAGAUGGAUCCGCGCCGCAUUAGCUAGUUGGUAAGGUAACGGCUUACCAAGGCAACGAUGCGUAGCCGACCUGAGAGGGUGAUCGGCCACACUGGAACUGAGACACGGUCCAGACUCCUACGGGAGGCAGCAGUAGGGAAUCUUCCGCAAUGGGCGAAAGCCUGACGGAGCAACGCCGCGUGAGUGAUGAGGGUCUUCGGAUCGUAAAACCCUGUUAUUAGGGAAGAACAAAUGUGUAAGUAACUAUGCACGUCUUGACGGUACCUAAUCAGAAAGCCACGGCUAACUACGUG